AUUGAACGCUGGCGGCAGGCCUAACACAUGCAAGUCGAACGGAGUGGCGGACGGGUGAGUAAUGUCUGGGAAACUUCCUGAUGGAGGGGGAUAACUACUGGAAACGGUAGCUAAUACCGCAUACUAUCAGAUGAGCCUAGGUCGGAUUAGCUAGUUGGUGGGGUAAAGGCCUACCAAGGCGACGAUCCGUAACUGGUCUGAGAGGAUGCUCAGUCACACUGGAGCUGAGACACGGACCAGACUCCUGCGGGAAGCAGUAGGGGGGAAUAUUGGACAAUGGGCGAAAGGCUGAUCCAGCCAUGCCGCGUGUGUGAAGAAGGUCUUCGGGUUGUAAAGCGCUUUUAGUUGGGAGGCGUUACCAACAGAAUAAGCACCGGCUAACUUCGUGCCAGCAGCGGGUAAUUC
Molecule: ribosomal RNA, 405 nt
Filed under: uncultured bacterium
Lineage: Bacteria
Description: partial 16S ribosomal RNA
Rfam family: Bacterial small subunit ribosomal RNA
Source: RNAcentral